AUUGAACGCUGGCGGCAUGCUUUACACAUGCAAGUCGAGCGGCAGCGCGGGGGCAACCCUGGCGGCGAGCGGCGAACGGGUGAGGAACACAUCGGAACGUGCCCCGGAGUGGGGGAGUAACGCCGCGAAAGCGGCGCUAAUACCGCAUAUGCUCUGGAGGAAGGAAAGCGGGGGACCAGCAAUGGCCUCGCGCUCUGGGAGCGGCCGAUGUCCGGAUUAGCAGUUGGUGGGGUAAUGGCCCGACCAAGGCGACGAUCGGUAGCUGGUCUGAGGAGGAUGAUCAGCCACACUGGGACUGAGACACGGCCCGAGACUCCUAC
This 320-nucleotide ribosomal RNA is filed under the name uncultured bacterium. RNAcentral's name for it is "bacterial SSU rRNA". It matches the Rfam family "Bacterial small subunit ribosomal RNA", at positions 28 to 342 of the family's 1533-position model. The record is from RNAcentral.